ACGCGGGAACUCUGGUGAGUGCGAACUCUGGGGAGGGCGGGAACUCUGGGGAGCGCAGGUAUUCUGGCAAGCGCGAGAACUCUGGCGAAUGUGAACUCUGGCAAGCAUGAGAACCCUGGUGACUGCAAACUCUGGUGAGCAUGAGAACUCUGGGGAGCGUGGGAACUCUGGGGAGCACAGGAACUCAGGUGAGCGUGAACUCUGGCAAGCGCGUGAACCCUGGCGAGGACCAACUCUAGCAAGCGCGAGAACUGAGGUGAGCGCGAGAACUCUGCUGAGCGUUAACCCUGGUGAGUGUGAACUCUGGCGAGCCCGAGAUCUCUCGGGAGGGCRGGAACUCUGGCGAGCGUGA
Molecule: long non-coding RNA, 352 nt
Filed under: Apteryx haastii (Great spotted kiwi)
Lineage: Eukaryota; Metazoa; Chordata; Aves; Apterygiformes; Apterygidae
Description: lncRNA (ENSAHAG00000014717.1)
Source: RNAcentral